GAUAAUGCGGGAGGAAAGUCCGGGCAGCAUAGGACAAUCCACUUCUGAAAAUAGAAGCUGUCGGUGACGGCAGGUAAGGGCAGAAGAGAAUGACCGCCAUCACGUUUUGUGUUUGGCAAGGGUGAGAAGGUGGUGUAAGAGACCACCAGUCGGCAGGUGACUGUCGAGCUGUGCCCGCUGGAUGCUGCAAGUUCAUGUAAACCAUCGUCUGAGGGUAGUCCGUCCGAUUCGAUGGAGGGUAGAACGCUUGAGCCGUAGGGUGACCUGCGGCGUAGAUAAAUGACAGGCACCCAUUGUCGGUGAGAACCGUCAUGGGGACAGAACCCGGCUUAUAGGGACGCU
This 342-nucleotide RNase P RNA is filed under the name uncultured Prevotella sp. RNAcentral describes it as "Bacterial RNase P class A". It matches the Rfam family "Bacterial RNase P class A", at positions 33 to 355 of the family's 367-position model. From Rfam's summary of the family: Ribonuclease P (RNase P) is a ubiquitous endoribonuclease, found in archaea, bacteria and eukarya as well as chloroplasts and mitochondria. Its best characterised activity is the generation of mature 5'-ends of tRNAs by cleaving the 5'-leader elements of precursor-tRNAs. The record is from RNAcentral. Lineage: Bacteria; Pseudomonadati; Bacteroidota; Bacteroidia; Bacteroidales; Prevotellaceae.